This 497-nucleotide ribosomal RNA is filed under the name uncultured bacterium. Its description in RNAcentral is "partial 16S ribosomal RNA". It matches the Rfam family "Bacterial small subunit ribosomal RNA", at positions 28 to 507 of the family's 1533-position model. The record is from RNAcentral.
GAUGAACGCUGGCGGCGUGCCUAAUACAUGCAAGUCGAGCGAACGGACGAGGAGCUUGCUCCUCUGACGUUAGCGGCGGACGGGUGAGUAACACGUGGAUAACCUACCUAUAAGACUGGGAUAACUUCGGGAAACCGGAGCUAAUACCGGAUAAUAUAUUGAACCGCAUGGUUCAAUAGUGAAAUACGGUUUUGCUGUCACUUAUAGAUGGAUCCGCGCCGCAUUAGCUAGUUGGUAAGGUAACGGCUUACCAAGGCAACGAUGCGUAGGCGACCUGAGAGGGUGAUCGGCCACACUGGAACUGAGACACGGUCCAGACUCCUACGGGAGGCAGCAGUAGGGAAUCUUCCGCAAUGGGCGAAAGCUUGACGGAGCAACGCCGCGUGAGUGAUGAAGGUCUUCGGAUCGUAAAACUCUGUUAUUAGGGAAGAACAAAUGUGUAAGUAACUAUGCACGUCUUGACGGUACCUAAUCAGAAAGCCACGGCUAACUACGUG